Molecule: unclassified non-coding RNA, 346 nt
Filed under: soil metagenome
Description: partial contains 5.8S ribosomal RNA, internal transcribed spacer 2, and large subunit ribosomal RNA
Rfam family: 5.8S ribosomal RNA (bases 1-120)
Source: RNAcentral
GAUGAAGAACGUAGCAAAAUGCGAUAAGUAAUGUGAAUUGCAGAAUUCAGUGAAUCAUCGAAUAUUUGAACGCACAUUGCGCCCGCCAGUAUUCUGGCGGGCAUGCCUGUUCGAGCGUCAUUUCAACCCUCAAGCCCUCGGGUUUGGUGUUGGGGAUCGGCGAGCCUUUCUGGCAAGCCGGCCCCGAAAUCUAGUGGCGGUCUCGCUGCAGCCUCCAUUGCGUAGUAGUAAAACCCUAGCAACUGGAACGCGGCGCGGCCAAGCCGUUAAACCCCCAACUUCUGAAUGUUGACCUCGGAUCAGGUAGGAAUACCCGCUGAACUUAAGCAUAUCAAUAAGCGGAGGA